GAUGAACGCUGGCGGCGUGCCUAACACAUGCAAGUCGAGCGAUUCUCUUCGGAGAAGAGCGGCGGACGGGUGAGUAACGCGUGGGUAACCUGCCCUGUACACACGGAUAACAUACCGAAAGGUAUGCUAAUACGAGAUAAUAUACUUUUAUCGCAUGGUAGAAGUAUCAAAGCUCCGGCGGUACAGGAUGGACCCGCGUCUGAUUAGCUAGUUGGUAAGGUAACGGCUUACCAAGGCGACGAUCAGUAGCCGACCUGAGAGGGUGAUCGGCCACAUUGGAACUGAAACACGGUCCAAACUCCUACGGGGGGCAGCAGUGGGGAAUAUUGCACAAUGGGCGAAAGCCUGAUGCAGCAACGCCGCGUGAGCGAUGAAGGCCUUCGGGUCGUAAAGCUCUGUCCUCAAAGAAGAUAAUGACGGUACUUGAGGAGGAAGCCCCGGCUAACUACGUGCCAGCCGCCGCGGUAA
This 468-nucleotide ribosomal RNA is filed under the name uncultured bacterium. Its description in RNAcentral is "partial 16S ribosomal RNA". It matches the Rfam family "Bacterial small subunit ribosomal RNA", at positions 28 to 523 of the family's 1533-position model. The record is from RNAcentral.